Molecule: ribosomal RNA, 696 nt
Filed under: Moraxella sp. EK-I26
Lineage: Bacteria; Pseudomonadati; Pseudomonadota; Gammaproteobacteria; Moraxellales; Moraxellaceae
Description: bacterial SSU rRNA
Rfam family: Bacterial small subunit ribosomal RNA
Source: RNAcentral
CGAUGAAGUCUAGCUUGCUAGACGGAUUAGUGGCGAACGGGUGAGUAAUGGUUAGGAAUCUGCCUAUUAGUGGGGGAUAACGUAGGGAAACUUACGCUAAUACCGCAUACGUCUUACGAGAGAAAGGGGCCCGACCACUAAAUUUAAUUUUAAGUAAUUGUCUUUUAAAUUAAUACAAUUUGUGCUUAUUAAGCAACACCUAACUUAAUUAGGAUGAGUUAAAUUUAGUGGUCGGGUCUCGCUAAUAGAUGAGCCUAAGUCGGAUUAGCUAGUUGGUGGGGUAAAGGCCUUCCAAGGCGACGAUCUGUAGCUGGUCUGAGAGGAUGAUCAGCCACACUGGGACUGAGACACGGCCCAGACUCCUACGGGAGGCAGCAGUGGGGAAUAUUGGACAAUGGGCGAAAGCCUGAACCAGCCAUGCCGCGUGUGUGAAGAAGGCCUUUUGGUUGUAAAGCACUUUAAGUGGGGAGGAAAAGCUUGUGGUUAAUACCCACAAGCCCUGACGUUACCCACAGAAUAAGCACCGGCUAACUCUGUGCCAGCAGCCGCGGUAAUACAGAGGGUGCAAGCGUUAAUCGGAAUUACUGGGCGUAAAGCGAGCGUAGGUGGUCAUUUAAGUCAGAUGUGAAAGCCCCGGGCUUAACCUGGGAACUGCAUCUGAUACUGGGUGACUAGAGUAGGUGAGAGGGAAGUAGA